RNAcentral lists this long non-coding RNA (869 nucleotides) under Vigna radiata. RNAcentral's name for it is "long non-coding RNA (VRAD_LNC017239)". The record is from RNAcentral. Lineage: Eukaryota; Viridiplantae; Streptophyta; Magnoliopsida; Fabales; Fabaceae.
UGAAAGGUGAAGCAGGUCUACCUAUCUCAAAAGUGUUGCUCAUAUCUGCCUGGUCUCCCAAUUCUUCAUCAGUUUCCUCAGGUGUAAGAGUAGGGACAUAGGAGGGUGGGAAAGUAGGUGGCACAAUAGUUAGCUCAUGACUCUGCUUCUCAUCCCCUAUGCGGGUGACACUGUCAUCAUCAGUAAUCUGAACAGUCUGAAUUGGAGGUCCCUCUAAAACACGAGACUGUUCCUCAAUUGCCUGCCUGGCUAUCUGCCUCCACAACUCAUUCAAUGUUGGCUCAGAAGAAGUAGAAGAUUUGGAAGGUGGUCGGGCAGAUGCCUCUUGCCGUUCCCGUUUCCUCUGAUUUUUCUACUGUGGCUGCCUGUUAUUGUAGAUGUUGGUAGCAUAAGCUUGAGGCUCAUCAUGAGAUACAGGGUGCUCCGAAGAAGGACAAACAUCCGUAUAGUGGUCACUGGAAGAACAUAAAGCACACAACCGUGUAACAGAUGCAGAUGGAGGUGCUAGUCUCUGGUUGGAUGCCAGUUGUGUCACUAAACUCUCAAGAGAAUCAAGCUUGCUUUCCAAUUUCCUACCAACAGCUGAUAAAGAAUGGGUAGGCUCAUGAGACUGCAGCUGUUGUGGUUUCUGAACAGGUGGAGAAGGCAUAGAAGGAGUCUGGAAUGAUGGUUCUUGAUAUUGAUGCUCUGAAGUACAAUACCAUCCCAAGUUAGGAUCAGUCCACCUAGGAUCAUCGCUACAACCAUACCGCACAUGGAAGAAUUUGUCAAGAAACUGAUGCUCAAGAUCUUCCCAACAGGUGACGAAUCCAGGAGUAAUACAACAACACCAAUCCCUUGCCGCUCCAUGUAAUGAGUACUUAAAUGCC